AGAGCGAACGCUGGCGGCAGGCUUAACACAUGCAAGUCGAGCGGGCGUAGCAAUACGUCAGCGGCAGACGGGUGAGUAACGCGUGGGAACGUACCUUUUGGUUCGGAACAACCCAGGGAAACUUGGGCUAAAUACCGGAUAAGCCCUUACGGGGAAAGAUUUAUCGCCGAAAGAUCGGCCCGCGUCUGAUUAGCUAGUUGGUGAGGUAACGGCUCACCAAGGCGACGAUCAGUAGCUGGUCUGAGAGGAUGAUCAGCCACAUUGGGACUGAGACACGGCCCAAACUCCUACGGGAGGCAGCAGUGGGGAAUAUUGGACAAUGGGCGCAAGCCUGAUCCAGCCAUGCCGCGUGAGUGAUGAAGGCCCUAGGGUUGUAAAGCUCUUUUGUGCGGGAAGAUAAUGACGGUACCGCAAGAAUAAGCCCCGGCUAACUUCGUGCCAGCAGCCGC
This 449-nucleotide ribosomal RNA is filed under the name uncultured bacterium. RNAcentral describes it as "SSU rRNA". It matches the Rfam family "Bacterial small subunit ribosomal RNA", at positions 26 to 518 of the family's 1533-position model. The record is from RNAcentral.